GAUGAACGCUGGCGGCGUGCUUAACACAUGCAAGUCGAACGAAACACCUUAUUUGAUUUUCUUCGGAACUGAAGAUUUGGUGAUUGAGUGGCGGACGGGUGAGUAACGCGUGGGUAACCUGCCCUGUACAGGGGGAUAACAGUCAGAAAUGACUGCUAAUACCGCAUAAGACCACAGCACCACAUGGUGCAGGGGUAAAAACUCCGGUGGUACAGGAUGGACCCGCGUCUGAUUAGCUGGUUGGUGAGGUAACGGCUCACCAAGGCGACGAUCAGUAGCCGGCUUGAGAGAGUGAACGGCCACAUUGGGACUGAGACACGGCCCAAACUCCUACGGGAGGCAGCAGUGGGGAAUAUUGCACAAUGGGGGAAACCCUGAUGCAGCGACGCCGCGUGAGUGAAGAAGUAUCUCGGUAUGUAAAGCUCUAUCAGCAGGGAAGAAAAUGA
RNAcentral lists this ribosomal RNA (446 nucleotides) under uncultured bacterium. Its description in RNAcentral is "bacterial SSU rRNA". It matches the Rfam family "Bacterial small subunit ribosomal RNA", at positions 28 to 454 of the family's 1533-position model. The record is from RNAcentral.